UUUUCUAAGUUUUUUGACAGGAGUUACAAGAAAAUAAGUAGCGGAAAAAUAAAUUUACAAAAAACACAGACAUAAAUAAAUAGUAAUGGAGGAAAACGUUAACCAAAAGCGGAAAUAAGAGAAGAAACACCGAUUCCGAAAAGCUAAACUUGGAAAUUUGCAUGAUUUCCACAACUCGAAGAUACCAAAAAGUUAGAGUCUCAUCCUAUUUGCUACGAGCAAACCUUUGCAGAAGCCCGUCUUCAAAACUUCUCGAUAAAAUGUGUACAGCUUCUUUGCAAACUAACGCAAAAACGCAAAAACAACUAUAGGGCUAACACACAAAUUCGACAGUUACAGAAGCAUCUACGGGUAACCAAAGAAACCACCUUCGGCCACCAUUCGUAUCACAACAAUAGGAACCAUCUCUCAUAGAUAAGCGAUGCCUCGAAAACCAACAUGCCGCCUCUAUUAUUCCGUAAAGACUCCACUCCAACAUGACGCACAACAUCAC
RNAcentral lists this small RNA (493 nucleotides) under Arabidopsis thaliana (thale cress). Its description in RNAcentral is "ATSL142830". Lineage: Eukaryota; Viridiplantae; Streptophyta; Magnoliopsida; Brassicales; Brassicaceae. The record is from RNAcentral.